GAUGAACGCUGGCGGCGUGCCUAAUACAUGCAAGUCGAGCGAACAGACGAGGAGCUUGCUCCUUUGACGUUAGCGGCGGACGGGUGAGUAACACGUAGGUAACCUACCUAUAAGACUGGGAUAACUUCGGGAAACCGGAGCUAAUACCGGAUAAUAUUUCGAACCGCAUGGUUCGAUAGUGAAAGAUGGCUUUGCUAUCACUUAUAGAUGGACCUGCGCCGUAUUAGCUAGUUGGUAAGGUAACGGCUUACCAAGGCAACGAUACGUAGCCGACCUGAGAGGGUGAUCGGCCACACUGGAACGGAGACACGGUCCAGACUCCUACGGGAGGGAGCAGUAGGGAAUCUUUCGCAAUGGGCGAAAGCCUGACGGAGCAACGCCGCGUGAGUGAUGAAGGUCUUCGGAUCGUAAAACUCUGUUAUUAGGGAAGAACGAACGUGUAAGUAACUGUGCACGUCUUGACGGUACCUAAUCAGAAAGCCACGGCUAACUACGUG
Molecule: ribosomal RNA, 497 nt
Filed under: uncultured bacterium
Lineage: Bacteria
Description: partial 16S ribosomal RNA
Rfam family: Bacterial small subunit ribosomal RNA
Source: RNAcentral